RNAcentral lists this long non-coding RNA (1369 nucleotides) under Crocodylus porosus (Australian saltwater crocodile). RNAcentral's name for it is "lncRNA (ENSCPRG00005008292.1)". The record is from RNAcentral. Lineage: Eukaryota; Metazoa; Chordata; Crocodylia; Crocodylidae.
AUGGAAAUAGAAGGAAAAUUAUUUUGCAAUAAAAAAAUAAGUCCAAUAAAAUAAGUCCAAUAAAAUUGGACUUAAUGCAUCACUCCCCAAUGUUUUGAAAAACUGCUGAGUAAAUUCAGUUCUUCAAAUGCACACCAUUCUGAUACUGAGUGUAAUUUCCUUAGAUUUAUUUUCUAUUUGUAUCACUUGGGUAAAAAUAUGUUAAAAGGAAAAUUAUUAAUAAUACUUUCAGUUCCCUUUCUGGUUUGUCCAGUGAGCAAUGAAUGUCGUAAUGCCAUUAAAAGAGAUCUUAUCUGAACUCGCAGUAAUAUAGUCAUUUGGAAAAUAGCUCAAGAGAGCUAUUUGUUUGUAUGAUAGCCAUUCAAAUUGUUUCUUCUUCUUCUUGCUUUAAAAUGCAACUUUGGCAGUUGAGGCUGUGACCAUAAGAAACCCAACUCCCUGCUGAAAUGUGGAAGGAUCAUAGUAGAUGGAGGACUACAUCAGACUAUAACUACAUGGGUCUCUACUCUGGGGGGUAGUGGCAGCAGGGCUUGGGACAACUGUGGAAGCUGUAUCACACUGGUGGUGGCUGCUGCUGUUCUUGUUGCUGUCCCUCUAAGCAAGUGCCCAAGGCUAGUGGCAUGGUCACUCACCCCUCAUCCACUACUAGAUCACAUCCCUAAGUAUGUGGUUAUCUUCACAGAGGAGAUCUGGAAUCAGAAGCAGCAUGAUCUGCAAUGCUUAUUGGCCCCAACUGGCUGCACAACUGGCAUGAGACGAGCUAACAUGUGUGGUGCUUUCUUUGGUGUACCACUGCAGAGCAUGUGCCACAAAUGGUAUGAGCAGCCUGUGUGUGUGGCACAACAGAUCAAGAAGGGGAUGGGCAGAACAGUAGCAGACAAGGCAGGAAGCAGAAAAAGCAGCAGAUCCAGCAGGGGAAGAGGAUCAAAGUGGCACUCAAAGAUGGUACAGGGCUAACCCCCUAGAGGAGUGGGUGUUGGCCCCACUGGGAAAAAAGAAUUGAUUUAGGAUGCUUGUCUGCUGGCCUUCUGUCACACAAUUUCCCCUUUCAUCCUUAACACUCCCAACAUCUGCAAGUUCCUGACUUUCUCAGGGAGAGCUGGUGGCAUUGGGAGCACAAGCUAAGAACACAAAAAAUCAUUGCCAGCAAUGUGAGAUAAAGAGAGGAGGUGUGUAAUAUUUCCUAGUGCCCAGUGCCUCAGGCACUGGAAUGGACAUUAAUGGCACAUAGAAAUACAUCCCAAGUAUUGUCUAGCUCUGUCUGUACCUGCUUGUCAAAUUCCUGUUGGUCCUGACUCUUAGUCGUUCUUUGGUAACACUUGUGUAAGUUGUCCUGCCAAUAAAACCCAAUUGAAUUGAAUUAAUUACA